RNAcentral lists this transfer RNA (77 nucleotides) under bioreactor metagenome. RNAcentral describes it as "tRNA-Met". It matches the Rfam family "tRNA". From Rfam's summary of the family: Transfer RNA (tRNA) molecules are approximately 80 nucleotides in length. Their secondary structure includes four short double-helical elements and three loops (D, anti-codon, and T loops). The record is from RNAcentral.
GGCUGCAUAGCUCAGUUGGCUAGAGCAUACGGUUCAUACCCGUAGUGUCGUUGGUUCAACUCCAACUGCAGCCACCA